Molecule: non-coding RNA, 591 nt
Organism: Pelobates cultripes (western spadefoot toad)
Lineage: Eukaryota; Metazoa; Chordata; Amphibia; Anura; Pelobatidae
Source: the annotation of a GenBank genome assembly
AGAUAGCUGCGAUCUGAGCGCACAAAACUACCGGAUAGCGCUCAGAUCCUAUUCACACAGUUCAAUUGCCAUGGAGCCGAAGUCUUUAACUACACGAAUGGGCUCCAUGGCAUAGCUAUCUGGGUUAACACAUUUACAUAAAGUCUGGUCCAUAGUCCAAAGGUAGCAGGCGGGCAGCCAGGCUUCUCCAAUGCAAUUUGGCGAGAUUGCUCUCGUCACACAUACAGCACACACACACACAGCACUCAAACACACACUAACAGCACCCUUACACACACACGCUAACAUCACACACACACAGCACCCUUACACACACACACACUAACAUCACACACACACAGCACCCUUACACACACAUACAUCACCCUUACAUACACAGCACCCUUACACAUACAGCACCCUCACACACACACACACACACUAACAGCACCCUUACACACACAGCACCCUUACAUACACACACACACACACUAACAUCACACACACACAUACAGCACCCUUAUACACACAUACAUCACCCUUACACACACAUACAGCACCCUUACACACACAUACAGCACCCACACACACACAUACAGCACCCUCACACAC